RNAcentral lists this ribosomal RNA (248 nucleotides) under uncultured bacterium. RNAcentral's name for it is "partial small subunit ribosomal RNA". It matches the Rfam family "Bacterial small subunit ribosomal RNA", at positions 26 to 288 of the family's 1533-position model. The record is from RNAcentral.
AGAAUCAACGCUGGCGGCGUGCCUAACACAUGCAAGUCGAACGAGAAAGUGGAGCAAUCCACAAGUAAAGUGGCGCACGGGUGAGUAACACGUGACUAACCUACCCUUGAGUGGGGGAUAACCUAGGGAAACCUGGGCUAAUACCGCAUAAUACCUUCGGGUCAAAGGAGCAAUUCGCUUAAGGAGGGGGUCGCGGCCGAUUAGUUAGUUGGCGGGGUAAUGGCCCACCAAGACUGUGAUCGGUAUCC